Molecule: ribosomal RNA, 1332 nt
Filed under: Triticum aestivum (bread wheat)
Lineage: Eukaryota; Viridiplantae; Streptophyta; Magnoliopsida; Poales; Poaceae
Description: partial small subunit ribosomal RNA
Source: RNAcentral
AUGCACCGCCUCUCCUCUCUUUCGCGACCACUUCACUCCUUCAUGCCCUCUCCUCCGCCUCGCUGGUGGCCACCAGCGCUUGCGCGACGAGUUUUCCCACCCAGAGAGCCUCCCAAUCCAACUGCCCGUCGUGUUCCCAGAUUUCCUCUUGGAUUUCGGAACAUGGCCAGCACCACUGAAGUGGAAGGGGAUGAUUCUGGUAAACCAGACAUGCGACUGCUUAUCAAUUCUUCCGUCACGCAAAACAUGAACAACAUGGAGACAAGGAGCACAACAGGGGAACCCAUGGCAUGUUAUGCCGAGGUUAUAGAUGACAAACGUGAUACAUGGGGGAAAACUGUUGGUUAUGAGGAAGAAACCGUGGACAAUGAGGACGAAGAAUAUGGGAACUGCGAUACACUGAUGGUUCGAUACCCCUUAGACCGUGUGCGCCCUCUGGCUGUGAUUCCGAAGAGCAGGCAUCGUGAUGGUUCUAUAUACAAGUGCACACACUCAUGGAAAAAAGAAUGUCUUAUUGCAGACCGCAGUGAGACUAUUUUCGAGCCAAUGAUGUUUACAGAGCCCUCAAAUUGCUUCAUCUUCAAUGGCACUUGCAUGCGGCAUGGACCUACUCACAUGUUGCAAAUUGUAUCAAUAAAGCUGGCUAAAAUUCAUGUGGAUGGUGGGCCAAUAGCGUUGUAUGGAUACAUUGCACUGCGGGAUAAUCUGGAUCCAUUGCUUAAUUAUGUCGUCAAAUUUAGCAGGGAUGAUCCCAUUACUUUGGAGCAGGGUUCUCUCAUCAACUUGGCUGGCCCUAAGCGAGGGAUUAAUUAUCUGGGUGAUAUUUUUAUCGAAUACGAUAUGAGGAUCAAGACUGUUGGACCAGAAAAGCAUGAUCCACAACUGAUCGAUGGCGUAUCAAUACUAGGCAACAUGGGCGUACGGAAUCGUAGUGUGUUCACGAAUCGCAUCCAUGGCAAUUGUGGUGCAGUUGACAUAACCUUUUCAAGUCUUGAAAAUGCAAUUGAGGCGACUGUAGAAGUUGCCAUAUCAGAAGUGCAAAGCAGUUUCAAUCUGUCUCUUGGCUGUUUUACCAGUGGGUUGAAUGAAGAAAUUCGGCUCUUUGAUGGCGUCAUUGGUGAGACGCGGAGCUUAAAAAGGUCUGUGGUUGCUGUGGUGAUAGAUUCUUGGAUACACUUGAAGUUCAAGGUUGGUACAGAGCGAUCCAGUUCCACUGAACGUGAUUGUUUCUUCAAUGCUGGCAACCACGGGUCUAGUGCUCGAAAGAUUAAGACUGAUUUUGCGUUAAUCUCAGUGAAGGUGAUCUGGUCGCCUUUGCCUGAUGGGUUCUAG